This 1071-nucleotide long non-coding RNA is filed under the name Triticum aestivum (bread wheat). Its description in RNAcentral is "long non-coding RNA (TAES_LNC014535)". The record is from RNAcentral. Lineage: Eukaryota; Viridiplantae; Streptophyta; Magnoliopsida; Poales; Poaceae.
AUGUACACCUAGUAAGUUUACGGUUUACAGGACACACAUCGACCAAAUAUACAGCAAAAGUUCACUUCUGAAUUUAGGCAAGCAACAUAAAGAACUCAUAUUAAGAUACAACCAACAAUCUGUGCACAUACAAGAAACAUAUGCAUGUCAAUUCCAGAUAUUUGAAUGAACCUAAGUAAAAUAUUACAUGACCUUUGAAUUUAUACUAUACAAUGCUUAGGCUGUAGCAUUACCUGUUCCAUUUCUGUCAAAAGAACAAUCUGAACUCGGCCUGCAGCUUUACACCAAAAAUAAGACCAAUAACUUGUAGGCAUCACACAAUGAACUUCGUAGCUACAACAGGAGGUUUGUGACCAAAUUAUGCACUUAAAUGAGCAGAAGCACACACAAAAAUUAAUUUGUGGUCAAUAUUCAACCUGGUAGCAGAUAUAUCAUCAAAAUUCUCAGGUAUAUCAUUACAGUACUUAAUCCCCAUCGACAAUAUAUCAAUUAGAUUUAUAUCUUCGAACCUGCAACAAAUCUAGAAAUUAAAGAACAUUGUUCAAAGAAGAUUUUAUAUAAGACAUGAAGAAUGUAAUAUUCUAACUAUAAAUACUCUCUGGCACACCAAAUAAGAUAGCCUUAUGCAGAACAUAUGAACGUGAUAGUAGUGUUCAAGAGAGAGGGAGAGAUCACUUUGUUCAAACUUUUCAUCAAGAUUCACCCUCUUCUCUUUUUCCUCAGGUCUGCAUAUGUGUGUUUAAAAAACCAUAAAUCAAGGAGGCUGCAUAUUGGCAACCUAGAUUGGGGACAGGUACCAUGGCCAGCACCGUCUGGAACUCCAGCCUCGCUGUUCCUUCCCUCACUGCCAUUCUCCUCAUCCUCCACACCCACCAAGAAGAUCAUGCCGCCCUGCUCGCCUAGAUCCAGAAGCACGGCACGCGGCAGCAGCAGAUAGAAGAUCAGUCGCAUGGGUGAGAAAGAACAGAGAUUGUGCCAAAUCCAAGCCGUCCACGGUAGCAGCACCGGCGCAAGAACGGCAGCGACGCGGGCGCAACAGGCGGCAAGUUCUCAACAAAGAAGAGCACAACC